RNAcentral lists this ribosomal RNA (497 nucleotides) under uncultured bacterium. RNAcentral's name for it is "partial 16S ribosomal RNA". It matches the Rfam family "Bacterial small subunit ribosomal RNA", at positions 28 to 507 of the family's 1533-position model. The record is from RNAcentral.
GAUGAACGCUGGCGGCGUGCCUAAUACAUGCAAGUCGAGCGAACAGAUGAGGAGCUUGCUCCUCUGACGUUAGCGGCGGACGGGUGAGUAACACGUGGAUAACCUACCUAUAAGACUGGGAUAACUUCGGGAAACCGGAGCUAAUACCGGAUAAUAUAUUGAACCGCAUGGUUCAAUAGUGAAAGACGGUUUUGCUGUCACUUAUAGAUGGAUCCGCGCCGCAUUAGCUAGUUGGCAAGGUAACGGCUUACCAAGGCAACGAUGCGUAGCCGACCUGAGAGGGUGAUCGGCCACACUGGAACUGAGACACGGUCCAGACUCCUACGGGAGGCAGCAGUAGGGAAUCUUCCGCAAUGGGCGAAAGCCUGACGGAGCAACGCCGCGUGAGUGAUGAAGGUCUUCGGAUCGUAAAGCUCUGUUAUUAGGGAAGAACAAAUGUGUAAGUAACUAUGCACGUCUUGACGGUACCUAAUCGGAAAGCCACGGCUAACUACGUG